Molecule: ribosomal RNA, 300 nt
Filed under: uncultured beta proteobacterium
Lineage: Bacteria; Pseudomonadati; Pseudomonadota; Betaproteobacteria
Description: bacterial SSU rRNA
Rfam family: Bacterial small subunit ribosomal RNA
Source: RNAcentral
ACACAGGUGCUGCAUGGCUGUCGUCAGCUCGUGUCGUGAGAUGUUGGGUUAAGUCCCGCAACGAGCGCAACCCUUGUCUCUAGUUGCUACGAAAGGGCACUCUAGAGAGACUGCCGGUGACAAACCGGAGGAAGGUGGGGAUGACGUCAAGUCCUCAUGGCCCUUAUGGGUAGGGCUUCACACGUCAUACAAUGGUGCAUACAGAGGGUUGCCAAGCCGCGAGGUGGAGCCAAUCCCAGAAAAUGCAUCGUAGUCCGGAUCGUAGUCUGCAACUCGACUACGUGAAGCUGGAAUCGCUAG